This 301-nucleotide ribosomal RNA is filed under the name uncultured bacterium. RNAcentral describes it as "partial 16S ribosomal RNA". It matches the Rfam family "Bacterial small subunit ribosomal RNA", at positions 509 to 807 of the family's 1533-position model. The record is from RNAcentral.
CAGUCGCCACGGGAAUACGUAGGGUGCGAGCGUUAAUCGGAAUUACUGGGCUUAAAGCGCGUGUAGGCGGGAGGGCACGUCCGUCGCUGAAAUCCCCCGGCUCAACCGGGGAACGGGCGCGGAUACGACUCUUCUGGAGGAACGUAGGGGGACCUGGAACUUCCGGUGGAGCGGUGAAAUGCGUUGAGAUCGGAAGGAACGCCCGUGGCGAAAGCGAGGUCCUGGACGUUUACUGACGCUGAGACGCGAAAGCCAGGGGAGCGAACGGGAUUAGAUACCCCUGUAGUCCCUGUCUCUUAUA